AUUCAAGUAGCUUAAUUUUAGAGUAUGCCAUUGAAGAUGGUAGGGUAAAUAUAUUUUCUUGAAUA
This 65-nucleotide transfer RNA is filed under the name Ernobius pini. RNAcentral describes it as "tRNA-Phe". The record is from RNAcentral. Lineage: Eukaryota; Metazoa; Arthropoda; Insecta; Coleoptera; Ptinidae.